GGUUGUUUAGUUUAAAAAAACAUUUAUCUUGAAAAUAAAAAUUAAAUACAACCU
RNAcentral lists this transfer RNA (54 nucleotides) under Armillifer armillatus. RNAcentral describes it as "tRNA-Ser". Lineage: Eukaryota; Metazoa; Arthropoda; Ichthyostraca; Porocephalida; Armilliferidae. The record is from RNAcentral.